Molecule: ribosomal RNA, 466 nt
Filed under: uncultured bacterium
Lineage: Bacteria
Description: partial 16S ribosomal RNA
Rfam family: Bacterial small subunit ribosomal RNA
Source: RNAcentral
GAUGAACGCUGGCGGCGUGCUUAACACAUGCAAGUCGAACGAUGAAGCCCAGCUUGCUGGGUGGAUUAGUGGCGAACGGGUGAGUAACACGUGAGUAACCUGCCCUCAACUCUGGGAUAAGCCUGGGAAACUGGGUCUAAUACCGGAUAGGAGCGCCUACCGCAUGGUGGGUGCUGGAAAGAUUUAUCGGUUUUGGAUGGACUCGCGGCCUAUCCGCUUGUUGGUGAGGUAAUGGUUCACCAAGGCGACGACGGGUAGCCGGCCUGAGAGGGUGAACGGCCACACUGGGACUGAGAGACGGACCAGUCGCCUACGGGAGGCAGCAGUCGGGAGUAUUGCACAAUGGGCGCAAGCCUGAUGCAGAGGCGCCGCGUGAGGGAUGACGGCCUUCGGGUUGUAAACCUCUUUCAGUAGGGAAGAAGCGAAAGUGACGGUACCUGAAGAAGAAGCACCGGCUAACUACGUG